This 2172-nucleotide long non-coding RNA is filed under the name Macaca mulatta (Rhesus monkey). RNAcentral describes it as "lncRNA (ENSMMUG00000052481.1)". The record is from RNAcentral. Lineage: Eukaryota; Metazoa; Chordata; Mammalia; Primates; Cercopithecidae.
UUCCUCCACAGUGAUUGACACACAAACCCCUAAAAUGAGAAGGAUCAGUGGGUCUGUCUGUAGAGAGUGACAGCAUUGAAGCAAGACAUUCAGAAGCCAGCCUGACACAAAGGGGACAAGGACAACUGCCACCCCAGCCCCCAUCUCUUUCCAACCCAAGAGACGAAUUGUAUGUUUCCACAUAUGCUGGACAAUGGGCAGAAAGUGGAGACGCAAAGAACUUGCGAUAUGACCGAGAUCUGUUAUUGCCCUCCCUUGACUGACUCCAUUUUAAGACAGUGUUCUGCAAGUCAGCCUGGCUAUGGCCUGAACUCAUGUUUCGGAUGGCGUCCAACCAUCAUUUAGAUGGUAGAAACUGGAACAGACCACUGAGUGUGGCUUUAGAUGCUAACAUUGAAGAUGCACAACCACAAGGAUGUAGGAGACUGGAUCCCUGAAUCGCUUGGAUGAUAGCAACAAGCUUCUUUGGUGUUAAACAACUUAGAUAUUCUGAUAAAGCAUCUACUAUUGCCUUAAUUAAGGAGUGAUGGAUAAUAUUUUCUUGGACAAAAGUGAUAGAGGUGAAGAUGAAGAGAAGCGGUCAGGUUCUACCUACAAUUGGCAGAGAAACAGGAGUUCCUGAGCAUAUGGACAUGAUGAGAAGGUAAGAGAAGAGCACCGGAGGAUCUGAACGUUUCUGCCCUGCACAUUUGGAGGAAGGAGUUGCCGUUUAUUGUGCUGGAAAGAUUGGAAGAGGACUAGUUCCACAGGCAGAAAACACAGUAUAAUUUUGGACGUGUUACUAUUGAGAUGCCUGGUGUUAUCUUCAUAACUUUAUAUAAAUAUUAUUACCUUAAUUCCUUAAUUUUUUAGCUGAGGAAAUAGAGGCCUGGCAAAAUGAUUUGCUCAAGGGAGUAAGUUUUAGGACAGGAAUUGUUUUGUUUUCUUCUGUUUUGUUUGAGACAGGGUCUCACUGUCACCCAGGCCAGUGUGCAAUAGCAUAAUCGUGGCUCACUGCAGCCUCGACCUUCCUGAUUCAAGCAAUCUUCCUGCCUCAGCCUCCCAAGUAGUUUAGACUAUAGGUAUGCACCAGUAUGCCUGGCUAAUUUUUAUUUUUAUUUUUAUUUUUUGUAGAGACAGGGUCUUGCUUUGUUGCCCAGUGUGGUCUCAAACUCUUGCGCUCAAGCCAUCCUCCCACCUCGGCCUCCCAAAAUGCUAGGAUGACAGCUGUGAGUCACCAUGGCUGGCAAUAUUUUAUUUAUUUAUUUUCCAAAUUUUUUAAUGUUUUAAAUAGACACAUACAUAUUGUACAAAUUUAUGAGUACAUAGUGAUGUUGUAGUACAUGUAAUGUGUAGCAAUGAGAUCAGAGUAAUUAGCGUAUCCAUCCUUUCAAAUAUUUAUCAUUUAUUUUGUUAGGAAGAUUCAGUAUCCUCCUAGCUAUUUGAAACUAUAUAUUAUUAACUAUAGUCAUCCUACAGUGCUAUAGAAUACUAGAACUUAUUCUUCCUACCUAGCUGUAAUUUUGUAUCCUUUAACAAAUCUCUCCCUAUCCAUCCCUUCCCCCACCUUCCCCAGCCUCUUCUAGUUUUUACUUCUAUGAGAUCAACUUGUUUUAGCUUCCACAUAUGAGUGAGCACAUGUGGUGAUUAACUUUCUGUUCACUUCACAUAAUGUCCCCCAGGUCCAUUCAUGUUACCAUGAAAGGAGUCCAUUCUUUUUUAUGGCUGAUUAGUAUUCCAUUGUGUGUAUAUACCACAUUUUCUUUAUCCAUUCAUCUGUUGUUGGAUACCUAGGUUGACUCCAUAUAUUGAUUAUUAUGAAGUGUGCUACAAUAAACAUGGGGGUGCAGAUGUUUCUUCAAUAUGCUGAUUUCCUUUCCUUGACAUAAAUGCUCGGUACUGGGAUUGCUGGAUGAUAUGGUAGUUCUAUUUGUAGUUUUUUGAGGAAUCUUCAUACUUCUUUUCCAUAGUUUCUAUACUAGUUUAUAUUCCCCAGAGUGUAGAAAGUCGUUCUCUUUUGGCGCAUCCUCACUGGCACCUGGUUUUUUUUAUUUGCUGAUUUUGGGUUUUUUUUGUUUGUUUGUUUGCUUUUUGUCUAUUUGAUUAAUAACCAACCUAACUGGGGUGAAAUGAUACCUCAUUGUGAUUUUGAUUUGCAUUUGUUUUGGUGAUUAGUGAUAUUGAGUUUUAAAA